RNAcentral lists this ribosomal RNA (253 nucleotides) under uncultured bacterium. Its description in RNAcentral is "partial 16S ribosomal RNA". It matches the Rfam family "Bacterial small subunit ribosomal RNA", at positions 524 to 776 of the family's 1533-position model. The record is from RNAcentral.
UACGUAGGGCGCAAGCGUUGUCCGGAAUUAUUGGGCGUAAAGAGCUCGUAGGUGGCUGGUCGCGUCUGCCGUGAAAGCCCGCAGCUUAACUGCGGGUCUGCGGUGGAUACGGGCCGGCUAGAGGUAGGUAGGGGAAAGUGGAAUUCCUGGUGUAGCGGUGAAAUGCGCAGAUAUCAGGAGGAACACCGGUGGCGAAGGCGGCUUGCUGGGCCUUACCUGACGCUGAGGAGCGAAAGCGUGGGGAGCGAACAGG